Molecule: ribosomal RNA, 253 nt
Filed under: uncultured bacterium
Lineage: Bacteria
Description: partial 16S ribosomal RNA
Rfam family: Bacterial small subunit ribosomal RNA
Source: RNAcentral
GACGAACCGUGCGAACGUUAUUCGGAAUCACUGGGCUUAAAGGGCGCGUAGGUGGUUGAUCAAGUCUGGGGUGAAAUCUUUCGGCUUAACCGGAAAAGUGCCUUGGAUACUGGUCAGCUGGAGGGAGGUAGGGGCAGUUGGAACUUCCAGUGGAGCGGUGAAAUGCGUUGAUAUUGGAAGGAACGCUGGUGGCGAAAGCGAACUGCUGGACCUCUUCUGACACUGAUGCGCGAAAGCUAGGGGAGCAAACGGG